This 9157-nucleotide long non-coding RNA is filed under the name Homo sapiens (human). RNAcentral's name for it is "PREDICTED lncRNA (TCONS_00237984)". Lineage: Eukaryota; Metazoa; Chordata; Mammalia; Primates; Hominidae. The record is from RNAcentral.
CACUUGCACUGCGGGUGCUCUCUGGCCCCCACCCCAUCAUCGCGCAACACACCCCCUUCAACAUGCGCGGCCACCCUUUCAUUGCCCUGCGCCCCGAGCGGUCCCACCGCCCGGCAAAACACUGAGCAAGCCGCUGCUCUCACCUUGCUUGACACACUUGAGCCGGAGGGGGUCCUUGCAGUGUUUGAUCACGGCCAGCACGUCCCUGAUGGUGAGCCCCGCCACGGGGGUCUCGUUCACCUCCAGCAGCAGCUCCUCCGACACCAAUUUGCUGCCGCUCUCAUAGGCCACCUUGCCGGGCUUCACCUCCCCCAGCAGAGGAAGCAGUGGUGGUGGCGUCGGCGGCGGCGGCGGCGGCAGCCGGAGCGAGCAGUAGCCGAGCUGGUGAGCGGGUGUGGUGGGGGUGGGGAAGGAGGGUAGGGAUGCCGGGGGCCACUCCUGCGUGGUGCGAGUGGGAACGCGCGCGCGCGCCUGGGACUGUGGUGAGGAUGAAAUCAGGGAAAUCAGUCACAGCAGUGCUCUCCUGGCACAGGCAGGAGAAUCGCUUGAACCCAGGAGGCAGAGGUUGCAGUGAGCCGAGAUCACACCACUGCACUCCAGCCUGUAAUGUCUUACAAUAACAGAAUGCAGGAGAGCACAUAUCAAUGAAGAAAAGACAAAAUGUACUUAUCCAUGAAGCUGAGGUUAAGAAACCAGUGUCUUCAAGAGCCAGGGACAGCACUGGGUCUGUGCAGAGUUGAGAGAUGGUGAUGACAUGUGGUUUCCAGCAUUCCUCACCCAGUCCAGGGACACUGUGGGUGUGCCCAGCUUAAGUCCAGUAACUGGAAAUACAAGCCCAAGUUCUGGAGAGUUUGAGCUGCAGAGAUAUAUAUGGGAACACUUUGAAUCUUGACUCAUUGGCCAUAACCAGCAGAGUGGAAAAUACAAGAAGAGAAAAAAACAUUGAACUGCGAUUUUAUAACAUCCUUUACUAGGCAGAGAGAAGAGGAAACACCAGGAAAGAAAACUGUAUUACGAUGUGAAAACUUAAUGUUGAGAAAUUCAGGCAUCUUGGGGUUAGUGAGGAGAAGUUUUAGGGGCUUAGAUUCUUCUAAACACAUGUACAGAAAUGCAUAUUUCAUCUGAUAUCAAAUGGCAUUUAUAGUGCUAAUCUUUACCUCAAGACUUCACAUCUUUUGGUGAUUGCAUCUUUUAGGUUUAUAGCAGCUAAGUUUGCAUGAAAACACCAGGGCUGUUUCAUUUCAGUCAAGAAUUAAUGUUCAUUGAUUGUGCUUCUGCAUUUCAUGUAACUAUUGUAGAAUUUGUUUUAGUUUUAUGAGGGAAUAAUUGUUCCAACUUCUAUAUAACUCAGGAAUUUACUCUCAAACAACACUGUCAAUUAGUUACUUAUCUCUCUGGAAAUGAUCUGGGAACAUGGAGAGGAAAGGGAGGAAGGGGCAAAAUCUGACCACUUAAAUCUAAGCAUAUUAGAUCAUUUUAUGCUAGAAAGUCCUGAAUGAUGUGACUUUCGUUCUUGUAAAACACCUCUUUCCAUAGAUUCAUGGCCCAAACAGUAUAUAAAGAGUGGGGAAGGAACUGCAUUUGCAAAUAGUUCAAAUCAUUGCUCCAUCUUAACUACGCAGUUCACAAAGUGUGAAGAAAUGUGAUCAUCUCAAAAAAGAUAAUGGGGAAAAAAUAUGUUUUGUUCUGUGACUUUAAAGUCUUGCAAUAUUUUACAUAAAUGAUAAUGGGUGCUUUAAUAAGAACUCUUGAUACUUUUGUUAUUGUAUUCAAUAUAUGCAUAUAAUACAACAGGAUGAUAUUGUUUUGGAUUUGGAAAUGUAUUCUUUCUUAUGCAAUCUUAUGCAGUCAUACUGCUUGAAUAUCAUUACCUGAAUUUAUCUUUCUUUUUUUUGUUGUUGUUUUACACUCUACUUAUUUGGUGCCUGUCAGUCUUUUGUCGUCAGUUUAUAUUCUACUAAACUCAAAAAGACAAUCUCAUACCUUUUGUAAUUGUAGGCAUUCUUUACUAGAUUUUUAAAUACACUUCAAAAAUUCAAGUACUUUGAUUUCAUGCCAUCAAGUAGCUGAAUCUAUCCCCCCGUCUCUUUUUAAAUUUAAGUGAGUAGUUCAAUUUCUGUCACUUUCUACUUUGUGAAUUCUAAAUCUUUUAAAACCAUCUUGCCAUUUUUCGUGCACUUACCCUUACAGAAAACUCUGUGAAACACUACUUAUCUCUACUUUUAUGUUUUUAACUCCUUUUUUAUAUUACUAUUCCCUCUGCUUUCUAAAUGCACAUAUUAAUUUGUUCUUUUUAUUCUCUGUAGCUCUUCUCAGUGUAUGAAUUCAGUUUCCCAUCAGUCUCCAUACAAUUAAAAAAAAGUUGAGUAUUCUGUUAUUUUAAUAAGAUAUCUAGUGCCCAUAUUCUAAUUCUGCCCCUUAUUUUUAAUAUAAUUUUAUUGUUGAUUUAAAAUGACAACAGUUUCAAUUCCCAGAAAGUGAAAGGAAACAAAGGAAUAAUAUUAUAGGCUUAAUUUUUAUCAGUGAACUUGUAGGUGAAGAAAAGAUUUGGGGAAGGAAAUGAACAUAUUAUAUUGCAAAAUAGUAAGGAACAAUCAGAUGUGUUUUCUAGUCUCUGGAAAAGCAUGUUUCAAGAAAUUCAAUGAAAAGUUCAUCAUGCUUGCUUAGAUUGUUGAGAAGCAAAAACACUGAUGAACAUUUGGAAGCAAUGAGAAUGUAAUUCUAAUCAUACUCUUUUAAUAAUGUUGCAAAACUCUCCAAACACUACUCUGUGUGGAUGUCUUUCAGAAUAUGAUGAAUACUAGUAGUCUUAUUCUGCCCUUUUCUCUCUAUCACAAUAUAUACAUUCUAUAUUGCAUACACAUAUUUUCCAAAUAUUACAUAUAAUUUCAUGUAAUUUAUAGACCUAUUAAGGCCCAACCAUUUUCUUGGAUAGGGGAUUCUUUAGAAGUCCAGCUUAAAUAAAGCCCGUAUAGAAAGUUUUUUUAAAAUUUAUACAUAAUCACCUAAAGUAACCUUAUCUACUGAACUCUUAGUACAUGCUACUGGAACCUUUUAUCAUGUUUCUUCCUGGCUUGCAUUACAACACUGUUGACAUAUCUCAGCCUUACUUCUAGGCUUCUUUGAGAGCAUGACUCAUGUUUGUAUUCCUCACUGAGGUUGAAUGAAUAAGAGAAACUACAGUAGUAGGAAAAAACAGUACAUGUACAUAUCAAUGAAUAUGAAAGGGUCAAAUGGAUCUAUUAUAGUAAGCACAAAAUCAACUGACACCAGCAAAGUAAACCCAAAAUUUUUAAUGGUAUUUUAAUAGAUCAAGAGGAGCAAGCAGAUUUUUGAGACAGUUGUCUCCUACUUUCUCUAUCACAGGGAGUAAUUUUAAAAGAAAAAUGGAGGGUAAGUUUCUUUAAGAGAAAAUUGUAGUUUAAAACAGGUCAUGGGAUAAUUAGAAAUAAUUUAAUUUCUUUAGAGGAUUUUAAUCUUUCAACUGCUUGCAAUUAGAUCCUAAGGCAAUAAAAGAAUAAGGAGAUUUGGAAAACCAUUGUCUGUAAUCUCUGAAGAAAAGUGGACAUUAGGGGAGUCAGUUGAAAAGCAAAGCUAUCACCAUUUUCUAAAGAGGAAAAAGGUGAACCUCACAAACUAUAGACCAAAAAAAUAGGACAUCGAGAGAAAGAAUAUGAAGCUAGCAUAGGUUCACAAAGAAUGAGUCAAAUCAAACAACAUGCAUUUUUUAUUUAUAAAGCAUGACUUGUUCAUUGUCAAUUCAUGUUAGCUUAAUCAUUAGGCAUUAAUGCCAUCACUGCAAUGCAUAUGUCAGCAAUAAAUAAUCAAAGACCAGGCUUCCAUCAUUCUGUUUAAUAUCUUCAAGUAAUGCUUAAGUUUGCAAAUGCUCUUUUAACACAUUCUCCAUAUGCAGCCUGCCCAGCACUGCACACAAUAGACCUGUUACUUCCCCCUCACGAGCACUCCUAAUAUUUCAUGUGCUCAUCCAAUUGACUUCUCCCACUGGUGCCUCAUAUUGAAUUUGUAGAAUCACACCUGCUCCUUUUUCAAAACUCUUCUGAGUUUUUUCUUAAAUAAUUCACUGACCCCAAAGUUGUCAGAUAUUUGAAGACUACUCGCACAAUUUUAAUAUUAUAAAUGUAUAAUGUAAAUGUAAUUAAGAUUUGUAUAAUGUACGAUGUACUUUGGUAAAUAAAAGUAUGCUGUGAAUAAAUACGUAUGAUACAAUUCAAAAUUUUACAUAAAUAUGUGAUAAAAUUUAGCUCAUAUUCUUUUUUUUUUUCUUUGAGACGGAGUCUCACUCUGUUGCACCCAGGCUAGAGUGCAGCAGCAUGAUCUCAGCUCACUGCAACCUCUACCUCCUGGGUUCAAACAAUUCUCCUGCCUCAGCCUCCUGAGUAGCUGGGAUUACAGGUGCCCGCCACCAUGCCCAGCUAAUUUUUUUCUAUUUUUGUUGUUGUUGUUGUUUUUAGUAGAGACGGGGUUUCACCAUGUUGGUCAGGCUGGUCUUGAACUCCUGACCUCAGAUAAUCCACCUGCCUCGGCCUCCCAAAGUUCUGGGAUUACAGACGUGAACCACGGUGCCCGGCCUAGUUCAUGUUCUUUAAGGACAAUUAUGAAUAUUUUUAUGCACUGUUAAUUUUCAUUAAGAUAUUGAUCAAUUAAUAGCUAUAUAUGUUCUAUAAAUUAAUCCUAUCUAGUUUCAAUCUUAAAUUGUUUGCAUAUACCAAUCUAGUUUAUUGUUUGCAUAUAUUUUAUAGUGUAGAGAUUAGGCAUUUUAAUAAAAUUUUAAAAUUUCCAGGACAUACUGUUAAUGACUAUGCUUCCUACUAUAGGCCAUAAUUAAUUUUUUUCUAUUGUCAACAAUAUUUUGGUAGGGAUGAUCAGGAAAUAAGGAAAUGUUUCCUUCAUUUGUUAACAAUAGGUGUUUGGGGAUUUUAAAAUGAAAAUUGAAGAAGUAAAAGACACCAUAUAUUUAGUUUGUUUGAUUUCGUGGCUUCAAGAGUUCAAUAAUUUAUUGAAAUAUUUUACAGACCAAAGAACAACAGAUAUAUUACGUUUAUAAGCCCCCACAUAUUUUAAAGGAUAAUGGUUUAUAUAUGAAAAUUCCCUGAACCUACACUUCAUCAGGAAAAGCUAAAUAAAAGAAGUUUACAUUUCCUAGGACUAAUGGAGAUUUAUUUCCCAGUCCUCUUCUCUGGAGACAAAUGUAGGUCUCUCUUGAAAAGCAGAAAGUUUUGCAUAUGAGGUAUGAUUUAGUGGGCUAGAAACAUCUUUUCCACCCUCCCCAAAAUGUUUCACUAUGUUUUAUCAUACUAUCUGAUAAUUUUGCACUAAAGUUUUCUUUCUGUGUUAAGAAAAUGCAAAUAUCUCUGAAUGGGUCUCUUUGCUUUAGUCAUACUCAUAUGGCUACUACUGAACAAAAUAUGUUCAUUACAGGAUGAAGGGAAUGUUGCCAGCCAGCAAAUCCCUAGAGUUUGCACUACACCAAACGUUGCUUAGCAAUUUCCACGAUUUUCUCAGUCUAAUUUGCAAGAAUCAAGGAGAUGUUUGUGUAUGCUACAUGAAGUUGUAAAAUUGGUAUUUAUUGUAUGUUUCUAUAUCGAAAGCUUUACAAACAAAGGAAAUGGAAAGUUAACAGGUGGAUAUGAUAGUGUGGCACUACUUUAGCUGGAUGGUAAGGGAGAGCUUCUCUUAGGAAGUGUUUUAGGCCAGGACUUGAAUAAUGAACAGUAUCUAGUUGUACAAAAAUCUGGAGGAAAGACUUUUCAGGCCCAGGAGAAAUGAAAAUUCUUUUCAUGCAUACAAGAAUGAAAGUGAAAAUUACCUACUCUAUGUCCUGAAGUGGGAAGUUGGCUUGCCAGAGAGUAGGUAAUUUUCACUUUGAUUCUUUCAUGCCUUCAGUUAUACUACUUCUUAGGUUAGUUCAUAAGGGUUUCCACAAUUUGGUUCCCACUUAAAAUUUAAAACUUCCCUAACCCAUUCCCACCAUAUAUUGUGCUAAUCCAUGCAUAUGUGACUUUGCGUAUGCUGUUUUCAUUGUUUAAUAUUCUUCUCAUGCAUUCGUUCUUUCCUGAUAACGAACUCAUCUUUGAAACUCCCCUUCAAGCAUCCUCUACUUUAGGAGGCCGCUUCUCACUGUCUCCUGCCUACCACCCAUUGAAUUGUUCAAUUUUUAAGCUGCCAUUGUCUUGUGCAGUUGACACAUUUCUUUGCAAUUACUGAUUUACAUGUCUGCUUUUAUCACUGGUGAGGUUCUUUAGGACAGAGACAUUAUUAAUUCAUCUCUGGGCACAUAUGUUCCAACAUAUUAGAAGUACUACAGAGUGCUAUUACUAUGUAGUAUGUAGUAUUAGUAGUAGUUACUCACAAAUCAUUUUUAAAUAAGUGAUUAUAAUAUCUUUUUGUUAUUAUGAUUUAACACAAGAUGGAAUUUAUUUUCAGAAGUUUCCAUGAUAUAUUUGUUCUAUUUAAAAUCCAAUAGCCAUUAGAAUAUUACCAUUAUUUAAUGUAAAACAAUAAAAUAUUAAAUAUGAUCGUUCAUAUUUAAUGCAAACCGAACUCAUGGAAAUAUUGUGUAAAGAUCAAGUAAUUUUUGACAUACAAUUUUAAACUCAACUUUUCAUAUAGCAUACCUUAUGAUAUAUUUUCAGCCUACUUUUAAAUAUGUUGGCAUUGAAAGCCAGUUACUAAUUCGCUGAAUUCAUGAUUUCUUUUUAAGUUAUAGAAGUGGAAUUAUGUUUGAGAUAUUCAUUGCAUUACAUUUACCAGAACUUGAGUUCUUAACAUGGAACCUGAGAGUUUCUCCAAUUCUUAAGUCCCUGGGAGAAAUAGAUUAGCUGGAUGAGGAACUGAGAGGAAAAAUGGUCAGAGAUGUAGCAAGAGUUGGGAAGAAGGAACAAUGAUUUGCUUUCAAGGAGAUUUUUUCAUUGGUCUGUUUUCAGUGACAAACCCACUGCGAUAAUACAUGUAAAGUGAAAACAUUCAGGAAGUUCCCUUAGAAACCUCUUUUCUGGCAGUUCCUAAUUCUACAACAUUGUAUAAGUGAAAUACCAUAGUUACUGUCAUAGUAAAUUGAGCCAAGAGAAACAAGGGAGCAGGAGAAGAAAAGAAUUAAAGAGAGUUUUGUCUUUCAGUCUUCACUCUGUUUCUUCUUGCUUUUACCAGUCAUUCAGGUUUAUAUAAUUUCUUUAGAGAGGCUUCUACUAUGCAGGUCUUCCUUAAAGUCAUUGGUAUUACCUGGCAUGAUAUGUGAGCCUUUAAUAUCAGUCCCUUUAUCUCUUUAUUUUUAAAGUUUAUAUCAGUACAGAGUCCUGGAUUCUUAAUUAAUUUAAUAGGUUAGACUUUAUGCUAAUAUUCUUCAUUUUGAUGCUCAAAUUUUCCAAAAUUUGGCCAGCAGGGUUCCUUAAAGCUGGGUACCUUGCCCUUUCAACAUGUCCCUCUGAUUCUUUAUUUUUAUUUACUUAUUUAUUUAUUUAUUUAUUUAUUUAUUUAUUUAUUUAUUUAGAGACUGAGUCUUGCUCUGUCUCCCAGCCUGGAGUGCAAUGGCACAAUCUUGGCUCACUGCAACCUCUAUCUCCCAGGUUCAAGCAAUUCUCCUCCCUCAGCCUCCCGAGCAACUGGGACUACAGGCAUGUGCAACCAUGCCUGGCUAAUUUUUUUUGUAUUUUUAGUAGAGACAGGCUUUCACCAUGUUGGUCAGGCUGGCCUCGAUCUCCUGACCUCAAAUGAUCCAUCGCCUCGGCCUCCCAAAGUGCUGGGAUUACAGGCGUGAGCUGCCACACCCAGCCGUCCCUCUCAUUCUUUAAGUACUUCCAUGUUUUCUAAGGUACAAGAUGUUCCAUAUUAUUUUGUUAUUUGUCUUCCCCAGCUCUGAAAUCUGCCUUUCCUUCAAGGAGCCUUGGUUCUUUCUAGUGACAAAUUAUAUUUAGAAAGAAGAUCUGGGUAUUUGACUUGUAUAUUGCUAUUAAUUGGCCAUUGUUUCUAGUCUCUUUCAGUAGACAGAGCUAAGAAAUGUAAAAGGAAAUAUUUGAAUGUAUGUAUAUGUGAUAUAUUAAGUACAUUUAAACAUAUUAAAUUCAUGAGUUCAUACUAAUACUUUCAAUAAGCCACAAUUCCCUUUUCAUGUUUUCGAAGGAAAAAUAUCCAUUGUCUAUAUACAGUGGACAUAGAUAGUAAUAAUACUGAUCUUGAAAAGAGCAGUCUUAAAUAGAUCCCAUUAAUAGUUAAAGAUAACAUAUCUUAGAAUUCUAGAUAUUAGAGAGAUUAUCUAGAGCUGUAAUCUAGAUAUUUUAUAGAUCUUUGCUGUGCUGUUUUGAAUUUGUGUUGGAGUAGAACAAUCAGAUGACAAAAGCUCAUCCCACAUGGAAAAAUCAAAGCAUUCAUUACAGAGAGAAUUUUGAAAUAAAUGCAUAUAUAAAAAAUAUAUAUGCAUAUAUAAUGCAUAUGUAUAUGCAUAUAAAAUAUAUAUAUAUAAAAUGAGGGUUAUAAACAAUGAAGGAAAUAGUGAUACUAUCUAUGUGGGAACAAUACUAGUAUCCUCCCUUUGGAUGAAUACAGUAGCUACAGAUGCAAUUCUGGGGACUCUGUUUAGCAAUAGCUUAACUAUUGCUUGGCUACAAGCAUGGAUAACUUGUUCAAAGAUAAUGAGGAGUUGUAAAUAUUUAAAUAAACAGGAUUUGCAACAUAAAAAGCUUUGUGACUAUGUGUCUGAAUUCUUAGAGUUUUCUCCCAGCAAGACCUUGGAUGUGGCAGACUUUUCUGUAAUUGUCCAUCUCGCCCCUAUUUCAUGAAAAGCCAGAGCUUCUCUACUUAGUUUGCUAACCCCAAAUAUAUAAAUUCAAUAGAAGUACUAGCCUGUUUUUACUGGUUUAUUUGCUUUAUCUAAAAAAAACAAGGCAUAGUUUAAAGUCUGUUUUUGAUAGCAUAACAAAACAAAGGUUCUCAUUUUAAUAAUGCAUCACAUAUACACUUGGUAACUAUUGCAUAGUAAUAAUUUAAUAACUUGAGAAAUAUAUUUAUGCAUGUAUGUGUAUAUGUUCAUAUAUAUGUUAUUUUUAAUUCAGAAGUAAAACAAAUAUUGGAAGAGGCCACAGUUAUUAUAAAAAUAAUUUGACCAGUAUUGGACAAUGCAAAUAGCAAUCAUUUAGAAGUUUCU